CCUACGGGCGGCAGCAGUGGGGAAUCUUGCGCAAUGGGCGAAAGCCUGACGCAGCGACGCCGCGUGAGGGAUGAAGGUCUUCGGAUCGUAAACCUCUGUCAGCAGGGAAGAACGGUCACUGUGCUAAUCAGCAGUGAAUUGACGGUACCUGCAAAGGAAGCACCGGCUCACUCCGUGCCAGCAGCCGCGGUAAUACGGAGGGUUCGAGCGUUAAUCGGAAUUUCUGGGCGUAAAGCGCUCGUAGGCGGUAUGUCAAGUCAAGGGUGAAAUCCCCGCGCUAAACGUGGGAACUGCCUUUGAAACUGGCAAACUGAGUGUGUGAGAGGAUAGUGGAAUUCCAGGUGUAGGAGUGAAAUCCGUAGAUAUCUGGAGGAACAUCAGUGGCGAAGGCGACUAUCUGGCACAUAACUGACGCUGAGGAGCGAAAGCGUGGGUAGCAAACAGGAUUAGAUACCCUUGUAGUC
Molecule: ribosomal RNA, 464 nt
Filed under: uncultured bacterium
Lineage: Bacteria
Description: partial 16S ribosomal RNA
Rfam family: Bacterial small subunit ribosomal RNA
Source: RNAcentral